UCUCUCUCAGCCUCAUCUCCCUCUUCCCCUUCUUGGAUCUCUUCCCCUUCCUGGAUCUCUCUCAGCCUCAUCUCCUCCUCCUUCCUCUCUUCGCUCUUCCCGGCUAAGGUAGGGGCCGAUGAGAUCCGAACAGCGAGAGGACGCCCACGACCACCAUGGCACGGUUGGUUGGCAACGUGAGGGAAUCCGAAGGAAGAGAGAACAACACCGAGAUCUCUGAUCUUGUGUAAAGGGGUCUCCUUCUUCUGAAGCAGAGAGAUCGAGUGCAGUACGAGAAUAACGAAGUAUGUCUGCCUGCUAAAACCCUAAAAUUACAGGCAUAAAGGGCUCUCCGUGCUUCAUUUUCUCCUUCUCGACCUCUUCGCUCGCUGGGUACACGGUCAUCUUCAAAACCUCUCGUUUCCUCUUUUCAUUCUUCUUAAUCGUCUGAUUGCUAAAGGUUGAGGAUGGGGCGGGGGAGGGUUGAGGUGAGGAGAAUAGAGAACAAGAUCAAUAGGUAGGUGACCUUCUCCAAGAGGAAGGCCGGGCUGCUGAAGAAGGCCGGGCUGCUGGAGGGAUCGCCCUCCCCUCCCGAAUAAGAGAUUUUUAUCUCAUGCCUUCUUGUCCAUUAUUGGAUUUUCAUCUGACUUUGGUUGUCGAUAAGUUUCUACAUGCCUAACCUAAUUAGCGUUUUUCUUAGACAGCGCUCCGUUCGUGCAAAAUGUUAAUAUUAUGUCUAUUUCUUGAGAUUUUUCAGUUAUGGAAUCAGUGACAUAUCAUGCAUGUACUAGUGCAAAAUCUUGGCUAAGAAUGAAUGAAUUAGUUUUUGUCUGUCUCCAUCUGCUUAACUUGAUUAUGCGUGUUUACUUCAUUGGAAAUAAGAUAGAUAAAAAAGAAAAUCAAAAUGAUGAAUUCGUCAAUUUCUCUAUUUGACAUGAAGAGAAGAAAGGAAUUUACUUUCAUCAAUUUUUUUUUUUAAAUUUUGUUUCAUCCAAUUCUUUCAUCUAAUUAGGCCAAAUGGCCAAUGCAAAUAGAUCUCCUGUUUGAAUUUUUUAUUCUAUUUUUUUUAAGUGUCUUUAUAAUUAUGUUUGCUAAACGUGCUUCACAAUCAUCUUCUUGUUUUAACUGUCCAUUCACAGUUUUACUUGAAUUCACAUCUCUCAAAACAAUGAUUGAACUUUAUUGUUAUGUCCAAGUCUCUUCCUCAAUGUUCUACUUGCUUAUUUGGAAGCUUAAUUGUUUUACAAUGUCACUUGGAAGUUGCAAAAGUGACCUUGCAUGUGAGCUAUAAAAAAAAAUCUACUUGUCAAUACAUUUGAAGCAACAGUAAGGCUGCUUUUUAGGCAAACAGAUCGAUGCAACUUGUCCAGGUAUUUAGUUCCUGAUCUCAAGUAAUCAUUUGAACAGAUGGAGCUCUUGUUGCUUCAGUCACAUUGCUUCUAGUUUUUUAGUAAAAGUGUGGUGGGAUUGAAGGUUUCCAGGCAACAAUGCCAUCAAUUUUCAAACACCCUGCACAUGUACCAAUGUGGAGGGGAGCCAAGGUCGCCUAUCUUCUAAUAGCAAUGUGUUUAUUCCCUAUUGCCAUUGGAGGCUUUUGGGCUUAUGGUAACCUAAUGACUCAAGGAGGAAUACUAAAUGCCCUUUAUAUAUAUCACAGCCAUGAUAUCCCAAGAGGGCUUCUAGCAACAACAUUCCUCUUGGUUGUGUUUAACUGCCUCAGCAGUUUUCAGAUAUACUCCAUGCCUAUUUUUGACAGCUUUGAAGCAGGUUAUACAAGCCGAACAAAUCGACCCUACUCGAUUUGGGUUCGAUCUGGCUUCCGAGUAUUUUAUUCUUAUUAGGAUAUGAAGCAGAAGCAGUACUAGUUUCUUUGGAGCUAGUAGGGUAGAACUACCUAGUCAAGGGGAUGACAAUGUGGAGACAAGGACUUUGGAAGAGUUGGAAGAGUUAUUGGAAUUUUCUAGUCAGAAUAGGACAUCCUUGACUCGAAUUAUGCUGGAUAAUAUGGUGGUUCCUCUUCCAAACGGAGAUGUGGAUGUCUCAAUGCUGAAGGAUGCAGUUCAGUUGGUUAAUGGUAGAUUUGAGACUAAGUUCUUCUGCUGCGCUGUAUCUCUUUAAAGGCUUUUAAGCCCCCACACUAUAUGCAGUGAAGUUAACAACAUGCGUGAAAAAGAAAAAUGCUCGACUUAAGAAUUUUGUUUCCACAUUUGUUACGUAGAGCAGAGAUAAGUUUGUGGAUUAUAGAGACUCCUUGAGCAACUUUGAGAAACAAAUGCAGUAGUAGAUUGCUGGUGCAAGCCACGCAAAUCAAUAAACUUACAUGGCCAAGCCGCAGUUCUUUCUUUUCCUCUCGCUGGAAAUCAUAUCAGCAACAGCUCUGGUUGUUCUUGGUCAGUCUUCAUCUGGAGAUUCAAUGACGCCGAACAGCUCACUUAUCGAUGGCCAGACCUUGAUAUCAGCGGGAGGCGUAUUCCAGCUUGGCUUCUUCAGUCCUGAUCAAGAUUCGGAGAAUGGAUCAGGACUGAAGAAUCGCCCGCCGGGACAAAGCAUAGUAUUGAUGAAUGUUUCUCUUUUUAAGUAUUCCAAUUAGUCAUCUUGUUACCUGGUGCUCUUACUGCUUUUUCAACUAUAAUUUUUAGUCUUGG
Zingiber officinale is the source of this 2624-nucleotide RNA transcript. It is a transcript of the gene named nicotinate-nucleotide pyrophosphorylase [carboxylating], chloroplastic-like, with no coding region annotated. The transcript is spliced from 5 exons. The record is from RefSeq and is a predicted model, not a curated record. Lineage: Eukaryota; Viridiplantae; Streptophyta; Magnoliopsida; Zingiberales; Zingiberaceae.